GGAUUAUGUUAAAAAUCAAAGAAUUUGGCGGUAUCUUAACCUAAUAGAGGAACUUGGUCUAUAAUCGAUGUACCACGUAGUAUCUUUCCUUGGCUAAAGUUUGUAUACCGUUGUUGCCAGAUUACUUUUAAUAAUUUUUGAGUUUUCUUGAUAGAAUAGACUUAUUCUACCACUUCAAAUCAAGGUGCAGUAUAUGCUAAGGUAGAGCUGAGUUACUUUUAAUGAGAAAUGGAGGGCAGGUUGAAAUCUUGUUUGAGAUAGGAUUUAUUAGUAAGUCUUUAUUAACUAAGAUUAGCUGAAAAGGGGUCUAGGGUAUGUACAAAUCGCCCGUCACUCUGAUUUUAAUAUCAGAUAAGUCGUAACAAAGUAGAUGUAAGGGAACUUGUAUCUAGCUGA
Molecule: ribosomal RNA, 396 nt
Filed under: Leiobunum cf. desertum MH-2012
Lineage: Eukaryota; Metazoa; Arthropoda; Arachnida; Opiliones; Sclerosomatidae
Description: 12S ribosomal RNA
Rfam family: Microsporidia small subunit ribosomal RNA
Source: RNAcentral